GCCUCUGCCCUUGCAUGCCCUCCCUGGUGUGCUCCCCUCCCAGAAACCCCUUCUCCAACCGGGCUGGCCUGGAAGGUCCUUGAAAAUCCCCUGUGAGUUAAGGAGAAGGCAGGUAAGUGGCAGGCUCAGCCAAGGAAACUGCUAUCCAGUCUCUAAUAGCCUGUUGCCACUGUCGAGGAGGACUCUGUCCCAUCCCUCCACCUCAAACCUCCCAAGGAUGCCUACUUGGGAAGACUAGUCUUGGCUGCUGGUGCAAGAGUGGAAAAUUAAGUGACCUGGCCCAGCCCACAGCCUCCAAGUGAAACCCCAGGGGUCUGAAAAGCCAGGGCUUGAAGGACUUUUGACAUUGAGGUGAGUGGACUGGGACUUGAAGAUUAGAGGGGCUUUGGUGGUGAGGGGCAUCAGAGUUGCCUUUCCCCAAAGCCCCAGGCCUGCUCACCUAGCUGUUUGAGGGGUCCUGGGACACAGGACUUUCUCUCUCCACUGGGCCUGGGCACCUCUUCCUGCCCUAGUACACAGGCAUCCCGCUUUUUUUCUCUUGGCAGGUGCCAUUUGAGGUGGCAGAAAGAAGCACAUCUGGGUUCCCAGCCCAGAGCUGCAGAAGCCUAAUGGGUGUGGGAUAGGGAGUUGAGAAGAGAGAGGGAGACAGGCUUAGAAGGCCCUCUGCCUUAAACCCCUUCUUACACUUCCUCCGUUUCUCAGUGAGCUCUCAGUUGCUCUUAGCCUUUCUUAGUCUCUUUCUUUCUUCCUCAUAUUCCUUGGUCUUUCCCGCUGUGUCUUUUAGCCUCUAGUUUCACUAACAGCAUGCUCGAGCUCUCCUUUCCCCAGUAUCUUCUGCCCACUAUCACUUUCUUUCUCUUUCUCUCAUUCCCUUUUUCUGUUUCUGUUGCCCUGCUUCUCUCGCUUUCAUCUCAGUCUCUUUCUGUUGCCCUUUCUCUCGGUGCCACUGUUUCUCUUUGUCUUUGUUCCUGUCUUUCUGUUACUUGGAAUCUCUCUCUCUGCCUGACUUUCUGUAUGUCUGCGUCCGUUUCUUGUUCCCUCUC
This is a non-coding RNA of Miniopterus natalensis, 1043 nucleotides long. The record is from RefSeq and is a predicted model, not a curated record. NCBI's taxonomy places the organism in Eukaryota, Metazoa, Chordata, Mammalia, Chiroptera, Miniopteridae.